AUGAACGCUGGCGGCGUGCUUCACACGUGCAAGUCGAACGAAGCACUUUAUUUGAUUUCCUUCGGGACUGAUUAUUUUGUGACUGAGUGGCGGACGGGUGAGUAACGCGUGGGUAACCUGCCUUGUACAGGGGGAUAACAGUUGGAAACGGCUGCUAAUACCGCAUAAGCGCACAGCAUCGCAUGAUGCAGUGUGAAAAACUCCGGUGGUAUAAGAUGGACCCGCGUUGGAUUAGCUAGUUGGUGAGGUAACGGCCCACCAAGGCGACGAUCCAUAGCCGAACUGAGAGGGUGACCGGCCACAUUGGGACUGAGACACGGCCCAAACUCCUACGGGAGGCAGCAGUGGGGAAUAUUGCACAAUGGGCGAAAGCCUGAUGCAGCGACGCCGCGUGAGCGAAGAAGUAUUUCGGUAUGUAAAGCUCUAUCAGCAGGGAAGAUAAUGACGGUACCUGACUAAGAAGCACCGGCUAAAUACGUG
This 480-nucleotide ribosomal RNA is filed under the name uncultured bacterium. RNAcentral's name for it is "partial 16S ribosomal RNA". It matches the Rfam family "Bacterial small subunit ribosomal RNA", at positions 29 to 507 of the family's 1533-position model. The record is from RNAcentral.